ACUACUGCCGUCUCCACACCGCAAGUUCACGCGUGUGCCAUAUUUUUAUUAGUGACUGCUAAAUUAGAAAACAUGUGAUUCGUCUGGCAUCCAGUGGUACGACAUUCAUACUAAGUUUCGUGAAAAUCCGUCAUCUGGUUCAAAGGUGAAAGGAGGCAAAUAAGGCACGUAGCAUGUUUUCGUAAGUCUGUUCAGUUUCCUUAAGAACGCCAACUGGUAUUGCAUCUGGAAUUCAAAUUUGACUUGAAGUGGCCUCAUUCCAUGAUCUUGCAUAUCUUGGAGUAUGCUAAAAAAGAAAUGUGUCCAAUAGGAUACAGUGGGUAAACAUUUUCAAGUACUGGAUUGGUAUGCAUCAUGAAAUAUCAAGUAGAUCCAAGGACUCACCUAAAACAGUUCUCCAAUUGAUCUAAGCAUAGACAAAAAUCAUGUUAUUUUUUUUUACAUAAACCAUGAUGAACUGAUGUUGCAUACUUUCCAACAAGCCAUGAGAAAAAUUAAGUGUCACUCUUACACAUAUUACGAUCCUUAAUUUCAUUCAUUCAUUCAUUUACAUUUAUUGAUCCAUAAAUGGCUGGAAGAUCAGUGGAUAUAGAGAUAGUCAAUGACAACACCACCAGUCACAUCAAUAACACAAAUGCAAAUUAAUUGUACUUAAUCCAUCACAAUUACACAUGUUAUCCAAGACAAGUUACAAUGAGUAAAUCAUUAAACAGUUAUAAAAUAUAUAAUGUAAAAGCAUGCAUCAUACUAAUAUCAGUCAAGACUGCAAUAAUCAAACAUGGAAAUAUACCACUAGCCAUCCAGCAUAUGAUAGACCAAGAUCGUUAAUUAAUAUUGAAGUUAACAUAUUCUUCGAAUGAGUGAAAUGAAUUUAGAAGUAGAAAUCUUUUUAAAGGCGAAUCUAAAUUUUUUCAUGUAAUGAGCUAAGUUUUUUUAUGCUAGAAGGAAGAUUAUUAAAAAUCUUGUUUCCAAAAUAAUAUGUUCUUUGUGGAAUAAAGUUAUAUUACAUAUUGGGUAAUGGAAAUUUUUAUUAUGUCUUGUAUUUAUGCCAUUUGGCCAUCCUUUAACUCUUGGAGGGCAGGAGUUCCAUCAUCUACUGUGACUCCAUCAUGUGGUGGUAUAUUACUCUAUGUAAUCGUGAAUCCAAUAAUUUCUCUUAAUCCGACCACUUCUGACACAAGUUUUGUCAUCACAGUCCCACUUCUGACACCAGUUUGUCAUGUAUCAUGGUAACACAAUACGAAAUUAAUGGGUUCCGAAUAAGAGAAAGCUGUUUAUUGGAUAAGUCAUUUACAAUUACAGUCACUCUGAAAUAACAUCUUCCAGAUGACGUAACCUCCUGGUCUGUUGUGUCUUUGCUCUUUGUCCUUAGCUCUGCUGUGUUCUGUUUGACGUCUGCUCUGUUCUAUGUUCUCAAUUCUGACCUCUCAUGGUCAUAACUGAGAGUCGGAAGGCCUAGAAAACACCUUCUUCAAGAUUUCCAUUUCAUGUAUUCUAUCCACUGGUAGUUAGUAUAUUUGUUGCUGCAGGAACUUCACUAGUUCUGGUUUUUCACUUGUUGCAUGAACCUGUUUGUCACCCUAACAAUGAUACAGAACCGUGGAUACCGAGCCGUUGCCUAACAGUGGACGCUCACUGUGUCUUAGAUAUUCUGGCUUUUAGGCAGCACGCUACAAUAUAAAUACUAUGGGGAGAAUUUGCCCAGAAAAUUAUACCAUAAGUCAUAACAAUGAAAAUAUGAUAAAUAAAUCAUUCUUAGUGUUUCCUGUUAGAUAUAAGGUUCAGCAGCCCUCAUUGAAUACCAGGUUGAACCUAAUUUAGAUGUAAGCCAGUCAACAUGUCCUUUCCAUGACAACAUAUUAUUGAUAAUUAAUCCAGUAAAUUUGGUAUUAGUAGAUUUAGCAAUCUGAUUGUUACCAUAGUCAAUAUGCAUAUCCAUUGCAUAGCUAUUCUUAGUAAAAAAUUGUAUAAAAUAUGUUCUACCAAAGUUUAAUGUCAAUAAAUUACCUUUAAACCAAUCA
Long non-coding RNA from Cryptotermes secundus, 2021 nucleotides. RefSeq lists it as uncharacterized. The transcript has 2 exons. The record is from RefSeq and is a predicted model, not a curated record. NCBI's taxonomy places the organism in Eukaryota, Metazoa, Arthropoda, Insecta, Blattodea, Kalotermitidae.